UUUAUCUUAUUGGAAGAACCUCUGCAGACACAAGGACCCAGCAUCCUCUGUGCUGCUCAGACUGCAGGUUCUGUUCCAGGAUCUUCAUCCAAACAACAGUUCUGAGCUGAUUGUGAGACAUCAACAUGAAGUUCUGUGUAGCAGCUCUGCUUAUAGCAGCUUGUCUGUUUGUGCCCUCCAUACCGGCAAGUCCUGCAAUGCGUGGGUGUCCACCUCCAUGGCGUGGGUAUUGUGGUGACUAUGAGUGCUACACGAACAAAGACUGCAUACGUGGUAUAUGCUGCCAUUAUGACUGUGGUUCCGUAUGCGUACCACUAAAAGGCCCGCCAGAUUAGCCAAAACUUUGUGGAAAACAUCUGUUCAUUCCUCACUGUCAUGAUG
This is a long non-coding RNA of Austrofundulus limnaeus, 381 nucleotides long. RefSeq lists it as uncharacterized. The transcript has 3 exons. Lineage: Eukaryota; Metazoa; Chordata; Actinopteri; Cyprinodontiformes; Rivulidae. The record is from RefSeq and is a predicted model, not a curated record.